AUCGAUUGCUUUUGUCUCCGCCCACUUACCGGGGGAAAUGGCGGUCUUUUCCUCAUUCGAGUCAACUUCCGGCCCACUGUUGUGAUUCUCAUCCCCCUCUCCCAGAAACCCAGCUGAAGUGAAUGAGAGUGGAGCUGAUGGAUUGCACCCUGAGUCAUGCAUGACUUAGCAUCUCGUUUGCUUCCCCCAGCUGGCAGAGACGUUGGAACAACGGCGGGAUUUACACAGACACAGAGUUUGGGGAUUGUAUUGGGAGCUCGUGACUGGUAGGAGAGCAAACAAAGAGUGGAGGUGUCGAGAUGAAACGGUUAAAUGGAAUAGAGUCGCCCCAAAUGAAAAAACCUGGAGCAGCGAGGAGAACAACAACAUCAACGUUUGGUCAUAAAGGCAAGG
Epinephelus lanceolatus (giant grouper) is the source of this 393-nucleotide long non-coding RNA. RefSeq lists it as uncharacterized. Lineage: Eukaryota; Metazoa; Chordata; Actinopteri; Perciformes; Serranidae. The record is from RefSeq and is a predicted model, not a curated record.